This 321-nucleotide long non-coding RNA is filed under the name Coffea arabica (coffee). RNAcentral's name for it is "long non-coding RNA (CARA_LNC004112)". Lineage: Eukaryota; Viridiplantae; Streptophyta; Magnoliopsida; Gentianales; Rubiaceae. The record is from RNAcentral.
UCUAUUUAAGAGGAGAUUUGAAAGCCGUUCCUCCUCCAACCAAAACAGGUUGUUAACCAGAAUCAUUAACACCAAUUUAAUCCACGAACAUGUCAUGAACACAUCUAAUCAUUAUCUUCUAUCUAUUAAAGUUCAACCCUGCUGAGUGCUGAGCUUCAGAGAUCUCAGAAAGAGCACAAACAAAUGCCAAUUGUAACUGAAAGUCAUAGAACACCUUCAGCACAUUCACAUAUUCCACGACUAAUCAACUUAAAAAUAGGCAAACACCCUAAUUUACAUUGUCAUAUAUAAAUUUAGAAACGGGCAAACUGUCUUUUGACA